GCUACCACAUCCAAGGAAGGCAGCAGGCGCGCAAAUUACCCACUCCCGGCACGGGGAGGUAGUGACGAAAAAUAACGAUACGGGACUCAUCCGAGGCCCCGUAAUCGGAAUGAGCACACUUUAAAUCCUUUAACGAGUAUCCAUUGGAGGGCAAGUCUGGUGCCAGCAGCCGCGGUAAUUCCAGCUCCAAUAGCGUAUAUUAAAGUUGUUGCGGUUAAAAAGCUCGUAGUCGGACUUGUGUCACACGCUGCCGGUUCACCGCCCGUCGGUGUUUAACUGGCAUGCACGUGCUGACGUCCUGCCGGUGGCCCGAGCCGGUCCUGGAUCUUUGGGUGCGAGUUUCCCUCCGGGGGGCUCCCCUCGAGUCCGGUUCUUGGGGAGGGCCUACUCAUACCCCUCGCGGUGCUCUUAACCGAGUGUCUCGAUGGGCCGGCACGUUUACUUUGAACAAAUUAGAG
RNAcentral lists this ribosomal RNA (458 nucleotides) under Panesthia parva. Its description in RNAcentral is "SSU rRNA". It matches the Rfam family "Eukaryotic small subunit ribosomal RNA", at positions 406 to 771 of the family's 1831-position model. Lineage: Eukaryota; Metazoa; Arthropoda; Insecta; Blattodea; Blaberidae. The record is from RNAcentral.